UGGAUACUACUGCUGUGAACAUUUGUGUACUCAUUUUUUUUUUUUUUGCGGUGCGCGGGCCUCUCACUGCUGUGGCCUCUCCCGCUGCAGGGCGCAGGCUCCGGACACGCAGGCUCAGCGGCCAUGACUCACGGGCCCAGCCGCUCUGUGGCAUGUGGGAUCUUCCCGGACCGGGGCACGAACCCGCGUCCCCUGCAUCGGCAGGCAGACUCUCAACCACUGCACCACCAGGGAAGCCCGGUUUACAGUGUUUUUAAGCAUUCCGUUUCUACGUGCAUUAUUAGAUCCUAUAACAUUAAUUUAGAUGACACCAAAUCAAUAAAAACUUAAAAACUGA
This is a long non-coding RNA of Orcinus orca (killer whale), 337 nucleotides long. RefSeq lists it as uncharacterized. The record is from RefSeq and is a predicted model, not a curated record. NCBI's taxonomy places the organism in Eukaryota, Metazoa, Chordata, Mammalia, Artiodactyla, Delphinidae. The transcript is spliced from 2 exons.